GUCGACGCUUCUUUUUCCACCGGAGCUUGCUCCACCGGANAAAGAGGAGUGGCGAACGGGUGAGUAACACGUGGGUAACCUGCCCAUCAGAAGGGGAUAACACUUGGAAACAGGUGCUAAUACCGUAUAACAAUCAAAACCGCAUGGUUUUGAUUUGAAAGGCGCUUUCGGGUGUCGCUGAUGGAUGGACCCGCGGUGCAUUAGCUAGUUGGUGAGGUAACGGCUCACCAAGGCCACGAUGCAUAGCCGACCUGAGAGGGUGAUCGGCCACAUUGGGACUGAGACACGGCCCAAACUCCUACGGGAGGCAGCAGUAGGGAAUCUUCGGCAAUGGACGAAAGUCUGACCGAGCAACGCCGCGUGAGUGAAGAAGGUUUUCGGAUCGUAAAACUCUGUUGUUAGAGAAGAACAAGGAUGAGAGUAACUGUUCAUCCCUUGACGGUAUCUAACCAGAAAGCCACGGCUAACUACGUGCCAGCAGCCGCGGUAAUACGUAGGUGGCAAGCGUUGUCCGGAUUUAUUGGGCGUAAAGCGAGCGCAGGCGGUUUCUUAAGUCUGAUGUGAAAGCCCCCGGCUCAACCGGGGAGGGUCAUUGGAAACUGGGAGACUUGAGUGCAGAAGAGGAGAGUGGAAUUCCAUGUGUAGCGGUGAAAUGCGUAGAUAUAUGGAGGAACACCAGUGGCGAAGGCGGCUCUCUGGUCUGUAACUGACGCUGAGGCUCGAAAGCGUGGGGAGCAAACAGGAUUAGAUACCCUGGUAGUCCACGCCGUAAACGAUGAGUGCUAAGUGUUGGAGGGUUUCCGCCCUUCAGUGCUGCAGCUAACGCAUUAAGCACUCCGCCUGGGGAGUACGACCGCAAGGUUGAAACUCAAAGGAAUUGACGGGGGCCCGCACAAGCGGUGGAGCAUGUGGUUUAAUUCGAAGCAACGCGAAGAACCUUACCAGGUCUUGACAUCCUUUGACCACUCUAGAGAUAGAGCUUCCCCUUCGGGGGCAAAGUGACAGGUGGUGCAUGGUUGUCGUCAGCUCGUGUCGUGAGAUGUUGGGUUAAGUCCCGCAACGAGCGCAACCCUUAUUGUUAGUUGCCAUCAUUCAGUUGGGCACUCUAGCAAGACUGCCGGUGACAAACCGGAGGAAAGGUGGGGAUGACGUCAAAUCAUCAUGCCCCUU
Molecule: ribosomal RNA, 1170 nt
Filed under: Enterococcus faecium
Lineage: Bacteria; Bacillati; Bacillota; Bacilli; Lactobacillales; Enterococcaceae
Description: bacterial SSU rRNA
Rfam family: Bacterial small subunit ribosomal RNA
Source: RNAcentral